UUAAAACUCAAAUGAAUUGACGGGGGCCCGCACAAGCGGUGGAGCAUGUGGUUUAAUUCGAUGCAACGCGAAGAACCUUACCUGGUCUUGACAUCCAUAGAAUUCUGCAGAGAUGUGGGAGUGCCUUCGGGAACUAUGAGACAGGUGCUGCAUGGCUGCCGUCAGCUCGUGUUGUGAAAUGUUGGGUUAAGUCCCGCAACGAGCGCAACCCUUAUUCUUUGUUGCCAGCGAUUUGGUCGGGAACUCAAAGGAGACUGCCGUUGAUAAAGCGGAGGAAGGUGGGGACGACGUCAAGCCAUCAUGGCCCUUACGACCAGGGCUACACACGUGCUACAAUGGCGUAUACAAAGGGAAGCGAAGGUGCGAGCUGGAGCGGAUCUCAUAAAGUACGUCUAAGUUCGGAUUGGAGUCUGCAACUCGACUCCAUGAAGUCGGAAUCGCUAGUAAUCGUAGAUCAGAAUGCUACGGUGAAUACGUUCCCGGGCCUUGUACACACCGCCCGUCACACCAUGGGAGUGGGUUGCACCAGAAGUAGAUAGCUUAACCGCGAGGGGGGCGUUUACCACGGUGUGAUUCAUGACUGGGGUGAAGUCGUAACAAGGUAACCA
This 608-nucleotide ribosomal RNA is filed under the name uncultured Enterobacteriaceae bacterium. RNAcentral describes it as "bacterial SSU rRNA". It matches the Rfam family "Bacterial small subunit ribosomal RNA", at positions 894 to 1502 of the family's 1533-position model. Lineage: Bacteria; Pseudomonadati; Pseudomonadota; Gammaproteobacteria; Enterobacterales; Enterobacteriaceae. The record is from RNAcentral.